This 1691-nucleotide long non-coding RNA is filed under the name Sus scrofa (pig). RNAcentral's name for it is "lncRNA (ENSSSCG00025054875.1, ENSSSCG00065008724.1)". Lineage: Eukaryota; Metazoa; Chordata; Mammalia; Artiodactyla; Suidae. The record is from RNAcentral.
UUCUACCAGGCUGUGAUCUGCCAGCGUUUUAUGAGAGCUGACGUCACACCAGGAAGGAGGCACCCAUAGCAUCUGCAAAUGCAGGGGCUCAAGCUGUGGAUCUUGGCGUUCCACCCAGCCUCCACCAAAUAGCCCCAAAGCCAUGUCCACAUACCUCUCAGCCUGUCAGACCACUUGGCCAAUGAAAUGGAGACAUGUUCUUUAAGAGAGGCGGGAAAUAAUGUUCAGUACGUUUGGAACUAUUAUUCAGUAGCAGAACUAAAGAAAACGAUGGAUGCCUUUGAUGCCUGGGAAGGAAAAGGUGUUAGCUACUGGUGGGUGCCUCACGAGCUGAUGGAGUGUUGGACGCUGGGAGAGCGGCCUAUACUUGGAAGCCUAUGUCACAUGGCCCCAAUGCGAAAGAGCCGACUGACGGCCUUCAACGAAGAGGAGGAAGACAGUGUGAAUGCUUUACUCCCAAACUCUAGCAAAUCAACGGGAAAUGAGAUCAGAGACAGUGGUGGGGCCAAGUCUGCUGCAAGCAGCUGAAGCUGGUCGACCCUUUCUGAGGGCGCUCCCACCAGCCUCUACACAGAGUCCUUUCUCAGAGCUGAGCAACAUGGGACUGCUAAGUACCAGGACCAUCCGAAGAACCAAAAUGAGUGAUCCAAGUAAGAGAACUGGCCGUGUCUAUGUGGACAUUCCUGAGUGAGGAGCAAACACAGCAAAUUUUCUCAAUUUUGGUGAACAUGCAAAUUACCUUAGAAACUUAAAAAAUACCAAGCCCUGGAUGUCAUCUCCGGAGAUUCGACUUAACUGGUUUUGAGUGGGGCCAGGUGAGUCCAAUAUGCAGCCAUUGGCCCUGAGAGUUACAUAACCCUCUGGCUGCUACUUGGCAUCUCUGUGGGAGGCUGAACCACAUCUGUGCGGCUUCUGGUACAUGCUGUGUCUUUGAUGUCUGUUGUGUCGGCCCCAGGAGAAAGGACAAAGGAGAAUGCUACUCUUGGUGUGUUUCUGGGUGGGGUAUUUCAGGCAGGCCUAGAUUUCGAAGCUUCGGGGUGAAGGAUGAAUUUCUGCUGUCAUUUCCUUCUGUCUCCAGCUCCAUCAGGGUCUUUAUGACCCAGGAUAAGGUUAUUAUGGGCUGACCCUCACUAGUUAGUCCUGCAUGCCUCUCAGUGGGUGGUGAGUAUCUGGGGCUUGGGGUCAUCUGGGGGUAGGGGGACAUGGCAGCAGGUUGUGUGGAAUCUUGUUCCUGCCAUGGUUCUGAGCCCUCAGAGUGGGUAUUCACAACUUGGACUUGCUCUUCUGCUUCUGGUCUGAGAGGAGGUGAGACCAGCAUGAAGAGUGAUAAAAAAAACUAGUGACCAGAAAGAUGACUAGUGACUAAACCAUGAGAGCAGUCCCAGAGGUGUGAAGAAGAGGGAGGGGGAUGGUGGGCCCAUGCAGUCAUGGAAGGCUCCACGGAGGAGGUGAGACUUGAGUUCAGAAGAAAUUUUUUUUUCUUUUUGCCUUUUCUAGGGCCGCACCCACAGCAUAUGGAGGUUCCCAGGCUAGGCGUCGAAUCAGAGCUGUAGCCGCCGGCCUACACCAGAGCCACAGCAACACAGGAUCCGAGCCACAUCUGCGAUCUACACUACAGCUCACGGCAACGCUGAAUCCUUAACCUACUGAGCAAGGGCAGGGAUCGAACCCACAACCUCAUGGUUCCUAGU